AAGGAGAAGUCGUAACAAGGUUUCCGUAGGCGGAAGGAUCAUUGUCGUGACCCUGACCAACGAUCCCGACGUGAGUUCGUGGUGUCUUUUUUGGGGCAUCAUGGAUUCCGUUGGACCAUAACAAAACCCCGGCACGGUAUGUGCCAAGGAAAACAAAAAUAAGAAGGACACUACCUGUUUCGCCCCGUUUGCGGUGUGCGUACAGGUCGUGGCCUCCUUGGAAUCACAAACGACUCUCGGCAACGGAUAUCUCGGCUCACGCAUCGAUGAAGAACGUAGCAAAAUGCGAUACUUGGUGUGAAUUGCAGAAUCCCGUGAACCAUCGAGUUUUUGAACGCAAGUUGCGCCCGAAGCCAUCCGGCUGAGGGCACGCCUGCCUGGGCGUCACGCAUCGCGUCGCUCCCCACCAUACCUCCCCAACGGGUUGGCAUGGUGUUGGGGGCGGAUAAUGGCCUCCCGUGCUUGUGUUUCGGUUGGCCUAAAUAAGAGUUCCCUUCGGCGGACACACGACUAGUGGUGGUUGAAUAGACCCUCGUCUUUUGUUGCGUGUCGUGAGCUGUAAGGGUAGCCCUCAUCAAAGACCCCAUUGUAUCGUCUUCGGAUGAUGCUUCGACCGCGACCCCAGGUCAGGCGGGACUACCCGCUGAG
RNAcentral lists this ribosomal RNA (648 nucleotides) under embryophyte environmental sample. RNAcentral describes it as "eukaryotic LSU rRNA". The stretch from base 232 to 387 matches the Rfam family "5.8S ribosomal RNA". Lineage: Eukaryota; Viridiplantae; Streptophyta. The record is from RNAcentral.